Long non-coding RNA from Exaiptasia diaphana, 233 nucleotides. RefSeq lists it as uncharacterized. The record is from RefSeq and is a predicted model, not a curated record. Lineage: Eukaryota; Metazoa; Cnidaria; Anthozoa; Actiniaria; Aiptasiidae. The transcript is spliced from 3 exons.
UGUGACGAGUUUGUGGUUUUACAUUCAAGUUUUAGCUUUUCUUCUUUCAUGCUACAGAGCUCGAUCAGACCAUCCCAGUAUCCUCCGAAAUAUGCGUUCUGUUGAUGAGCCAGUAUGCAGAGAUUCAGGGCUUGGCCCGCCACAAAUGUGCGGACGAUUGAUCAGAAAGGAGCAUUGCCGGAAUAGUCAUAUGAUCAGAUGGGCACGAACAUAUUGCCGAAAAUUUUGUCUAU